CAGCCGCCGCGGUAAUACAGAGGGUGCAAGCGUUAAUCGGAAUUACUGGGCGUAAAGCGCGCGUAGGUGGUUUGUUAAGUUGGAUGUGAAAGCCCCGGGCUCAACCUGGGAACUGCAUCCAAAACUGGCAAGCUAGAGUACGGUAGAGGGUGGUGGAAUUUCCUGUGUAGCGGUGAAAUGCGUAGAUAUAGGAAGGAACACCAGUGGCGAAGGCGACCACCUGGACUGAUACUGACACUGAGGUGCGAAAGCGUGGGGAGCAAACAGGAUUAGAUACCCGCGUAGUCACUGUCUCUUAUAC
RNAcentral lists this ribosomal RNA (301 nucleotides) under uncultured bacterium. RNAcentral's name for it is "partial 16S ribosomal RNA". It matches the Rfam family "Bacterial small subunit ribosomal RNA", at positions 509 to 807 of the family's 1533-position model. The record is from RNAcentral.